GAUGAACGCUGGCGGCGUGCCUAAUACAUGCAAGUCGAGCGAAUGGAUUAAGAGCUUGCUCUUAUGAAGUUAGCGGCGGACGGGUGAGUAACACGUGGGUAACCUGCCCAUAAGACUGGGAUAACUCCGGGAAACCGGGGCUAAUACCGGAUAACAUUUUGAACCGCAUGGUUCGAAAUUGAAAGGCGGCUUCGGCUGUCACUUAUGGAUGGACCCGCGUCGCAUUAGCUAGUUGGUGAGGUAACGGCUCACCGAGGCAACGAUGCGUAGCCGACGUGAGAGGGAGAUCGGCCACACUGGGACUGAGACACGGCCCAGACUCCUACGGGAGGCAGCAGUAGGGAAUCUUCCGCAAUGGACGAAAGUCUGACGGAGCAACGCCGCGUGAGUGAUGAAGGCUUUCGGGUCGUAAAACUCUGUUGUUAGGGAAGAACAAGUGCUAGUUGAAUAAGCUGGCACCUUGACGGUACCUAACCAGAAAGCCACGGCUAACUACGUGCCAGCCGCCGCGGUAA
This 515-nucleotide ribosomal RNA is filed under the name uncultured bacterium. RNAcentral describes it as "partial 16S ribosomal RNA". It matches the Rfam family "Bacterial small subunit ribosomal RNA", at positions 28 to 523 of the family's 1533-position model. The record is from RNAcentral.